UGGGGAAUAUUGCACAAUGGGCGCAAGCCUGAUGCAGCCAUGCCGCGUGUAUGAAGAAGGCCUUCGGGUUGUAAAGCACUUUCAGCGGGGAGGAAGGGAGUAAAGUUAAUACCUUUGCUCAUUGACGUUACCCGCAGAAGAAGCACCGUCUAACUCCGUGCCAGCAGCCGCGGUAAUACGGAGGGUGCAAGCGUUAAUCGGAAUUACUGGGCGUAAAGCGCACGCAGGCGGUUUGUUAAGUCAGAUGUGAAAUCCCCGGGCUCAACCUGGGAACUGCAUUCGAAACUGGCAGGCUAGAGUCUUGUAGAGGGGGGUAGAAUUCCAGGUGUAGCGGUGAAAUGCGUAGAGAUCUGGAGGAAUACCGGUGGCGAAGGCGGCCCCCUGGACAAAGACUGACGCUCAGGUGCGAAAGCGUGGGGAGCAAACAGG
This 429-nucleotide ribosomal RNA is filed under the name Chloroflexota bacterium. RNAcentral's name for it is "Chloroflexi bacterium partial 16S ribosomal RNA". It matches the Rfam family "Bacterial small subunit ribosomal RNA", at positions 355 to 776 of the family's 1533-position model. The record is from RNAcentral. Lineage: Bacteria; Bacillati; Chloroflexota.